UUUAUAAUCUGGCACCUUCGGUGUCCGAGUUGUAAUCUCUAGAAGUGUUUUCCGCGUUGGACCGCACACAAGUCUGUUGGAAUACAGCGGCACAGUGGUGAUACCCCCGUACACGGUGCGGACGCCCAGCGCUUUGUGAUACACUUUCAAUGAGUCGAGUUGUUUGGGAAUGCAGCUCAAAUUGGGUGGUAAAUUCCAUCUAAAGCUAAAUAUUGGCGAGAGACCGAUAGCGAACAAGUACCGUGAGGGAAAGAUGAAAAGCACUUUGGAAAGAGAGUUAACAGUACGUGAAAUUGUUGGAAGGGAAACGCUUGAAGUCAGACUUGCUUGCCGGAGCUUGCUUCGGUUUGCAGGCCAGCAUCAGUUUUCCGGGGUGGAUAAUGGUGGUUUGAAGGUAGCAGCCUCGGCUGUGUUAUAGCUUUCCACUGGAUACAUCCUGGGGGACUGAGGAACGCAGCGUGCUUUUUGCGAAGGUUUCGACCUUUUCACGCUUAGGAUGCUGGUGUAAUGACUUUAAACGACCCGUCUUGA
RNAcentral lists this ribosomal RNA (531 nucleotides) under Rhodotorula kratochvilovae. RNAcentral's name for it is "eukaryotic LSU rRNA". It matches the Rfam family "Eukaryotic large subunit ribosomal RNA", at positions 114 to 657 of the family's 3401-position model. Lineage: Eukaryota; Fungi; Basidiomycota; Microbotryomycetes; Sporidiobolales; Sporidiobolaceae. The record is from RNAcentral.